GGUGGUGCCCUGUAGUUUGUUGUGAUUGACCGUAUGAAUGGCCAGAGUUCCUAAUAGGGUUUAUCCUAACAUUCUAAUGACCAUCCAUGCUCAAGUAGAGAGUGACGAGUCAUGUGGUGAGAAUAGCAAGAGGUCCUAGGAUAGGCGCUUCUUGGAAGGUCUAUACCGCUUUAAAAGGGCUUACACUUGUGUGUGGUCUGGUGAAACCCUCGG
RNAcentral lists this long non-coding RNA (213 nucleotides) under Vigna radiata. RNAcentral describes it as "long non-coding RNA (VRAD_LNC015917)". The record is from RNAcentral. Lineage: Eukaryota; Viridiplantae; Streptophyta; Magnoliopsida; Fabales; Fabaceae.